This is a long non-coding RNA of Neodiprion fabricii, 1223 nucleotides long. RefSeq lists it as uncharacterized. The record is from RefSeq and is a predicted model, not a curated record. Lineage: Eukaryota; Metazoa; Arthropoda; Insecta; Hymenoptera; Diprionidae. The transcript is spliced from 2 exons.
AUAAAUGUUAUGCAAGGGUGUAAUUUUUCUCACAAUAUUAUUUAUUUAGUAUCACGUUUCUUACAUAACCCGAUUAAUCACAGAACGAACACUGCCUGCACAUUCUAAUGGUACAAUUACACUUGCGGUAAUCGACCCCAGAUAUUGUGAAAAAUUAAAGUUGCAGUAUAAUUGUGAUAUCUCUCACUGCGGUAAAGUCAGAUUUCCAGGGCUGAAAUAUAACCAAGAAAUGAAUGAAUUAUCUACAACUUCAUGCGGAAUUAUCUCGUUAUAUCUGUGAAUUCGUCGUGGUUGUUUCGAUUUCUGCGAGAAAUCCAGCUGUUUCACGAUCCACCGAAAACCGGUAUUUCUUGAAUACGGCUUUUUAUUGUACCUUCUACGUCAGACGAAAAUCGCACCGACUCAACAUAAAAAAAGAGUGCUAAUAUACUUCAUUGACCAGAGGGUUUUCUGCAAGUAAAACAUCCAAAGCAAUAUCUAAUUACUAUUCCGCAGAAGCUGAUGCUGCUUACGUAAGAAUCAUAUACCCAGCUAUUUUUGCAGAUGAUGUGCAUGCAGGUCACGUAUGUCGUACGGUACACAUACAUGGAUAUUGUCCACUGGCCCACAUGCACAUGUAACAUAUUAUUUUGUACCAUAAAUUUGCGGUACGCAUUGCAAAUUAUAAGGUAUUUACCUCAAGGCGCAUCAGCUGUUUCCGGAAACAAUUAUUCGAUUAUAAUCGGUAAUAGUAUCUGGUUACGAUAACACACAAGUGCACGUAUACAUAAUUUUAUUCAAGUUCGAAUAAUCCCCCGUUCUCCUUACUGCUCGUGGAGUUGAUGAUACAGUUCAAGGUCUCGGCGAACGAAACGGAAAUUAUUAUCUUGUAAGUUUGGCGAGCGAAUCAGUGCCGUAUAUUACGUGAAAGCACAGGAAAUGAUAACAUGUUAAUUAAACUUAAUUUGCAUUUCGUAGAGAGGGAAAACUACGGGUCGAUUUUUACUUCAAAACCCAAAGACAGGGAAUAAAUUACCGUAUAACGCCUUGAGCGGUAUGGUAAAAGAUCAUGCGAUGCGACACCGAAUUUUUAAUGACAUUCACAUGAGUUCGUUAUUGGUCUGGUCUGAUAUUCUUGAAUCGUGAGCUCCAGCACUUUUGUACAAAAUAUAAUUACGUUUCCAAGUAAGGAAUUCUCUUCGACGAUAAAGUUGACUACAUUAUGUGCAUAUUCUUCUCGUGGA